GACGAACGCUGGCGGCGUGCUUAACACAUGCAAGUCGAACGAAGAGCGAUGGAAGCUUGCUUCUAUCAAUCUUAGUGGCGAACGGGUGAGUAACGCGUAAUCAACCUGCCCUUCAGAGGGGGACAACAGUUGGAAACGACUGCUAAUACCGCAUACGAUCUAACCUCGGCAUCGAGGAUAGAUGAAAGGUGGCCUCUACAUGUAAGCCAUCACUGAAGGAGGGGAUUGCGUCUGAUUAGCUAGUUGGAGGGGUAACGGCCCACGAAGGCGAUGAUCAGUAGCCGGUCUGAGAGGAUGAACGGCCACAUUGGGACUGAGACACGGCCCAGACUCCUACGGGAGGCAGCAGUGGGGAAUCUUCCGCAAUGGACGAAAGUCUGACGGAGCAACGCCGCGUGAGUGAUGACGGCCUUCGGGUUGUAAAGCUCUGUUAAUCGGGACGAAAGGCCUUCUUGCGAAUAGUGAGAAGGAUUGACGGUACCGGAAUAGAAAGCCACGGCUAACUACGUG
This 510-nucleotide ribosomal RNA is filed under the name uncultured bacterium. Its description in RNAcentral is "partial 16S ribosomal RNA". It matches the Rfam family "Bacterial small subunit ribosomal RNA", at positions 28 to 507 of the family's 1533-position model. The record is from RNAcentral.